ACUAAUUUAAAAACAACCAUAGAUUAAUCAAAAUCGCUCAACCCUCUUCUAUCUCUACAAAGUCAAAGUCAAGUUCCCCAAAAACUCCGGUGAAUCUGCCGGCAUCAUUUGAGCACCGGUGGAAGGUUGUACAAGUCCCGAAGGAUUACCGAGGUGUGGAGAUCGAAGACCGAGUCACAAGUUAGAUUGUACGGGAAUGCUUGGAUAGCUAAUUUAGUAAACAUAGUUUAUGUUUUUAUUUUGUAAAUGGGUUCGAUUGUUGUAUUCAUUGUAAAUGUGUCACCUUAAGAAUGAACUUCAAGUAUGAUAAGACAUUCAUAAUGAAAGAAAUUUUAUGGUA
Long non-coding RNA from Helianthus annuus (common sunflower), 340 nucleotides. RefSeq lists it as uncharacterized. The transcript has 2 exons. The record is from RefSeq and is a predicted model, not a curated record. NCBI's taxonomy places the organism in Eukaryota, Viridiplantae, Streptophyta, Magnoliopsida, Asterales, Asteraceae.